Scophthalmus maximus (turbot) is the source of this 1751-nucleotide long non-coding RNA. RefSeq lists it as uncharacterized. The transcript has 4 exons. The record is from RefSeq and is a predicted model, not a curated record. Lineage: Eukaryota; Metazoa; Chordata; Actinopteri; Pleuronectiformes; Scophthalmidae.
UGUUGCGUUUUUUUCAAACAAUUAGCAUCAUAACUGUCGUGUUCAAACGGCAUUUUAAUACACUUCCUGUCCUGCUGUCCACUUGUGCUGAGUGAUGUAUCCUCUCUGCCAGGACGCUCCAUGUCAACAAGUCCUUGCCUCCGAGCUGAGGGAUGGGGGAGUUGCAGAGGCGGAUAUGGGUGAUGACACCAGAACCACAGGUGACGGAGCAGGAAGACCAGGGUGACCAAUGGCUCCAGCCGCCGUCCUGCUUGACUAAAGGCCCCAAAGAAAAGGGAACUGAAGUGGCAGAGACAGAAGCCUUGGAAUGAGAUCAGAGCUUUGAUGAGACAUUUAUCUUCACUCCCACGACCGCACGCUUUUGAUCCCAUUAAGAGUUUUAUUCACCGAAUGGGAGGAUGGAAGGAGAAAGAGGAAAACCACAGCCAUGGUUGAGGUCAAGGGGGCUGAGGCAUGCGGGGAGCCGGCAGACGGAGCAUGACCUUCCAGGCGGGAAGAGAAAACAUUUGACAGGAGACACAACUCGGGGACGAAGAUGGAUCACACCGAGAAUAGCAAAGACGUUGUCCCGGAAAAAGGGCCAAUACAUGAUCUGCACUCAAAAGGGGCAUUCGUCUUCAUGCGUGCAACGGUUUAGCGUUACAUUUUUGCAAUCGCUAAAGUUUUUCACUGAAACGCGACGCAGCUGGAUGAAUGUCUUCCGACCGCAAUGAACUUGUGCACCAAGGCUUUUUAGCCAGACUCGUGUCGUAGACUGAAGUAUCUCAUCAACUACUGGAUGGAUCGUUUUAAGUCUUGUUUUCCAUCCAACAAUUAUUGGAGACUGUUCAUGUCAGACACGUUCACAACAGCAAGAGCAUUUCUGCAGCACCAAUGGCGAGGGUUGGGGCCCACUCGCUCGUCUUCUUGCUGUAUUCUCACACAGGCUUACUAAGACAUUAUCCAGAAAUUUUUACCGGAGGAAUGGCAGCAAAGAUUCUUGACCAACAUUCGUGGACAUUUGUGUUCUCACAUACAGCCCCUCAGGGAGAAUUGGAUGUCUCAUGAACUGUUCCCGUGUCCAUAUGUGUUCAAAGUUUUGCUUUAUGGCUAAAAACCUGAAAUUUAAAGCACUAAUUAGCAAAUGUUAGCAUCCAGACGCACUAAACUUAAAUGCCUAACAUGGUGGAUAUAAACUCUGCUAGACAUCAGCAUGUUGGCAUUUUUGUUCUAAGCACAUUUUCAUGCUAAUGUUAGCAGUUAGCUCGGAUCACCACUAGGCCUCACAGGGCUGCUCUCUGCAUGUUUCGCGAUGCCUCAAAAGUAUUGCUCUGAACUAAAACAUUUGUUGUAGUAUUAUAACAACAAUUCUUUAUCAAAUGAAAACUGCACUUUCAAUAAAUUGGUUUUGCCAUUGUUUUUUUAAGUCACAAAACACAAUGCUGCUGCUUGUUUGCACCAGUGAAACCGUGACCAUCUUCUGUUUUGCAACACGACAAUUUCCUUUUGUGCUGGCGUAAGCAUUCCUGCAGAUUUCCUGCAAAGCACUGUAACAGCAGCUGUCAGAAAACAUCAUCGGAUGGCUGAUUCAUUUGACAUGUUGUCUCCUAGUUCCUUUUCCAAAGUGAUUGCAACCCCAUCACACUCGACAUGUUGUCGAGAUUAAACAAACCCUCUGAAUUACACAGCUUUGCUGCAGCAGAUUUAAUGUUUCAGUAUUAUAUUGUAGCUGCCCUUUAGCCAAAAUGCUUCGCUAUCAUUGUCCACACUUA